This 306-nucleotide unclassified non-coding RNA is filed under the name uncultured fungus. RNAcentral's name for it is "partial contains 5.8S ribosomal RNA, internal transcribed spacer 2, and large subunit ribosomal RNA". The stretch from base 1 to 52 matches the Rfam family "5.8S ribosomal RNA", at positions 103 to 154 of the family's 154-position model. RNAcentral also lists the same sequence under 1 other name. The record is from RNAcentral. Lineage: Eukaryota; Fungi.
AACGCAUCUUGCGCCUUUUGGUAUUCCAAAAGGCACACCUGUUUGAGUGUCAUGAAACCCUCUCAUUAAACCAUUUUGUUCUUGAACAAGAUAGUUUAGUGGAUGUUGAGUGUUGCUGUCAUUAGCUCACUUUAAAUAUAUCAGUUACUUUUCAAAUGAGUUGGAUUGACUUGGUGUAAUAAUUUUAUCAUCACAUCAAGGAAAGUAGCAAUACUUGCCAUCUUGUUUAAACAAAAGGGACUUCUAAAAACCCAAUUAAUUAUUUUUUAAGACCUCAAAUCAGGUGGGACUACCCGCUGAACUUAA